UGGGGAAUAUUGCACAAUGGGCGAAAGCCUGAUGCAGCAACGCCGCGUGAGUGAUGAAGGUCUUCGGAUUGUAAAGCUCUGUCUUUUGGGACGAUAAUGACGGUACCAAAGGAGGAAGCCACGGCUAACUACGUGCCAGCAGCCGCGGUAAUACGUAGGUGGCGAGCGUUGUCCGGAUUUACUGGGCGUAAGGGGUGCGUAGGCGGAUGUUUAAGUGAGAUGUGAAAUACCCGGGCUUAACUUGGGUGCUGCAUUUCAAACUGGAUAUCUAGAGUGCAGGAGAGGAGAAUGGAAUUCCUAGUGUAGCGGUGAAAUGCGUAGAGAUUAGGAAGAACACCAGUGGCGAAGGCGAUUCUCUGGACUGUAACUGACGCUGAGGCACGAAAGCGUGGGUAGCAAACAGGAUUAGAUACCCUGGUAGUCCACGCCGUAAACGAUGAGUACUAGGUGUAGGAGGUAUCGACCCCUUCUGUGCCGCAGUAAACACAUUAAGUACUCCGCCUGGGAAGUACGAUCGCAAGAUUAAAAC
RNAcentral lists this ribosomal RNA (529 nucleotides) under uncultured bacterium. RNAcentral's name for it is "partial 16S ribosomal RNA". It matches the Rfam family "Bacterial small subunit ribosomal RNA", at positions 355 to 900 of the family's 1533-position model. The record is from RNAcentral.